This 445-nucleotide ribosomal RNA is filed under the name uncultured Fimbriimonadaceae bacterium. RNAcentral describes it as "bacterial SSU rRNA". It matches the Rfam family "Bacterial small subunit ribosomal RNA", at positions 337 to 797 of the family's 1533-position model. Lineage: Bacteria; Bacillati; Armatimonadota; Fimbriimonadia; Fimbriimonadales; Fimbriimonadaceae. The record is from RNAcentral.
GCCUACGGGGGGCUGCAGUUGGGAAUCUUGCACAAUGGGGGAAACCCUGAUGCAGCGACGCCGCGUGGAGGAUGACGGAUUUAGGUCUGUAAACUCCUUUUGCAGGGAAAGACUUAGGACGGUACCCUGAGAAUAAGGACCGGCUAACUACGUGCCAGCAGCCGCGGUAAGACGUAGGGUCCAAGCGUUGUCCGGAUUUACUGGGCGUAAAGAGCGCGUAGGCGGUCUGUUAAGUGUGAAGUGAAAUCUCCAGAGCUCAACUCGGAAACUGCUUCGCAUACUGGCAGACUUGAGGAAUGCAGAGGUGAAUAGAAUUCCUGGUGUAGCGGUGAAAUGCGUAGAUAUCAGGAGGAAUACCCAUGGCGAAGGCAGUUCACUGGGCAUUAUCUGACGCUGAGGCGCGAAAGCGUGGGUAGCAAACAGGAUUAGAUACCCCAGUAGUCUG